RNAcentral lists this transfer RNA (76 nucleotides) under Planctomycetota bacterium. RNAcentral describes it as "tRNA-Arg". It matches the Rfam family "tRNA". Rfam says of the family: Transfer RNA (tRNA) molecules are approximately 80 nucleotides in length. Their secondary structure includes four short double-helical elements and three loops (D, anti-codon, and T loops). Lineage: Bacteria; Pseudomonadati; Planctomycetota. The record is from RNAcentral.
UGUCCCGGUAGCUCAGCUGGACAGAGCAGCGGUCUUCUAAAUCGCAGGUCGGAGGUUCGAGUCCUCCCCGGGACGU